GUACACGCUGUGACUAGCAUAUCAAUAAGCGGAGGAAAAGAAACUAACAAGGAUUCCCCUAGUAACGGCGAGUGAAGCGGGAAGAGCUCAAAUUUGAAAUCUUAAAGGGUUUCCCUUUACGAAUUGUAGUUUAAAGAAGUGUUUUCUGUUGAGGUUUUGGUAAAAGUUCUUUGGAAUAGGACAUCAUAGAGGGUGAGAAUCCCGUAUUUGACCUUUACUUUCAACUUUGUGAUACACUUUCAAAGAGUCGGAUUGUUUGGGAAUGCAGUCCAAAAUGGGUGGUAAAUUUCAUCUAAAGCUAAAUAUUGGCGAGAGACCGAUAGCGAACAAGUACCGUGAGGGAAAGAUGAAAAGAACUUUGAAAAGAGAGUUAAACAGUACGUGAAAUUGUCAAAAGGGAAGCGUUUGACACCAGUGUUGUUUUUCUGAAAAUCAAUUAAAGAACUGUUUAUGCUAAGCUGUUUAGACUUUAUCAGCUAAUCUGUUUAGUUUUGAGCUUUUCUUUAAUGCACUUUUCAGUUAACAAGUCAACAUCAAUUUCUUUUGCUGUAAAAAAGCUUGAGGAAGGUGGCUUGAGAUUCGUCUUAAGUGUUUAUAGCCUCUUGCCUAUGCAGUCGGAGAGAUUGAGGUCUGCAGCGUAGAUCCUUCGGGGCUAAAUGCAUUUGUGCUAAGUUAUAGCAUUUUAUAGACAACUUGUUGACUAUGAUUUGUCUUGUAGCUUACUCGCUUAUGUUAUUUUACCUACGCUUAGGAUGUUGACGCGCGUGUGUGCGUG
RNAcentral lists this ribosomal RNA (775 nucleotides) under uncultured Neocallimastigales. Its description in RNAcentral is "partial large subunit ribosomal RNA". It matches the Rfam family "Eukaryotic large subunit ribosomal RNA", at positions 22 to 639 of the family's 3401-position model. The record is from RNAcentral. Lineage: Eukaryota; Fungi; Neocallimastigomycota; Neocallimastigomycetes; Neocallimastigales.